CCCGGGCCCUGCACUGCUGAUCAGUGCCUGGGGGCCUCCAUUUGCCUUCUGUUCCCAGGAAGCUACCAGAGGCCCCUCCACCGGCCCUUUCUUGCAGCAAGCCUUUAGCAUACUAUUUGUGUAGAAUUUCACUUCUGCUGCACUGUGUUUAAGACAGUGCCAGAGGAAGACAAAGUUCUGGGGUCCUCAUUGUCAUGCUUGGCUCUCGGUCACCUGGGCCCUCCACUCAGGCCUUCUGUCCCCAGUUGCCUUUUCUGAGGAUACUUAGAAGCCAGGGACUCAAACCAUCAACACUGCUCUAUUCCAGCUCCCUGUUUGGGGCCUCAAGGCCCUUUUCAGUUUAUAAUGUGGUCUCUUUAAAAGAAAAACAUGGAAGCAAAGCAG
Molecule: long non-coding RNA, 384 nt
Filed under: Suricata suricatta (meerkat)
Lineage: Eukaryota; Metazoa; Chordata; Mammalia; Carnivora; Herpestidae
Description: lncRNA (ENSSSUG00005004203.1)
Source: RNAcentral